RNAcentral lists this ribosomal RNA (137 nucleotides) under uncultured bacterium. RNAcentral describes it as "partial 16S ribosomal RNA". It matches the Rfam family "Bacterial small subunit ribosomal RNA", at positions 355 to 484 of the family's 1533-position model. The record is from RNAcentral.
UGGGGAAUCUUCCGCAAUGGCGAAAGUCUGACGGAGCAACGCCGCGUGAGUGAUGAAGGAUUUCGGUCUGUAAAGCUCUGUUGUUUAAUGACGAACGUGCAGUGUGUGAACAAUGCAUUGCAAUGACGGUAGUAACG